RNAcentral lists this ribosomal RNA (418 nucleotides) under uncultured bacterium. Its description in RNAcentral is "bacterial SSU rRNA". It matches the Rfam family "Bacterial small subunit ribosomal RNA", at positions 30 to 449 of the family's 1533-position model. The record is from RNAcentral.
AUUGAACGCUGGCGGCAUGCCUUACACAUGCAAGUCGAACGGCAGCACGGGAGCAAUCCUGGUGGCGAGUGGCGAACGGGUGAGUAAUAUAUCGGAACGUGCCCGGUCGUGGGGAUAACGUAGCGAAAGCUACGCUAAUACCGCAUACGAUCUACGGAUGAAAGCGGGGGAUCGCAAGACCUCGCGCGAUUGGAGCGGCCGAUAUCAGAUUAGGUAGUUGGUGAGGUAAAGGCUCACCAAGCCGACGAUCUGUAGCUGGUCUGAGAGGACGACCAGCCACACUGGGACUGAGACACGGCCCAGACUCCUACGGGAGGCAGCAGUGGGGAAUUUUGGACAAUGGGCGCAAGCCUGAUCCAGCAAUGCCGCGUGCAGGAUGAAGGCCUUCGGUUGGUAACUAGCUUUUGUUACGGUAACG